RNA transcript from Clarias gariepinus (North African catfish), 831 nucleotides. It is a transcript of the gene named polyadenylate-binding protein 1-like 2, with no coding region annotated. NCBI's taxonomy places the organism in Eukaryota, Metazoa, Chordata, Actinopteri, Siluriformes, Clariidae. The transcript is spliced from 6 exons. The record is from RefSeq and is a predicted model, not a curated record.
AGCACUUAAUUGUAGUACACAGCAAUACACAGCAGCGAUAACAACACAGUGUUUAGCAUCAAUAAGCAACAACACAGUGCUGAGAAGCAAUGAGCGGCGCAAAGCAGCAGCGUGCAGCGCGAUCAUUUGUAAUUUACAUCUGUGGUAAAAUGAACACAAAGUCUGAGAAGGCUAUACUGUAUGUGGGUGCGCUGCACUACCGUGUGACAGAGUCCAUGCUCUUUAAAAGAUUUAGACCUGCAGGGCCCAUUCGCUUCAUCCAGAUCUGCAGGGACAACAAGACAGUCUCCUCACUCAUCCAUGCAUAUGUCAGCUUCAAAUAUCGGGCCGAUGCUGAGCGAGCAAUGGUAAAGCUUAAUUAUGAGUGCCUGAUGGGACAGCCCAUGAGGAUAAUGUGGGCUCAGAGACAUCUGACCCGGGGAUCUACCUGCGUCGGAAACCUGUUCUUCAAUAACGUGGACAAGUCCAUUGACAGCAUGGGUCUUUUUGAACUUUUUUCCAUCUCCAAAAAGGAUGAAGGUUAUGAGGAGGAGCCAAAAGGGUACAAUUACCUCCGUUUUGAGUUUCUCGAGGCAGCAAAUCUCACAAUGGAAAGCUCAAAUCUAAACUCCUGAACGACCAUCAAGCAUUGCCUGUUACCCCAGAAGAUCCACCCCAGUCUGGCCAAUAAGAUCAUGUGGGAGCUGUUGCAAGGCAAAAACAUCUAUGAAAUCUGAAUAUGAUUGAAUAUUCAGAGUUUCUGGUUGCUAAGGAAAUGUGGUCCAACAAUAAGAGUUGGAGGAAUAAAAAAAGAAAGAAGAAAUUUUUAAAUAACACUCCAACUAACAAUUC